RNAcentral lists this ribosomal RNA (791 nucleotides) under uncultured archaeon. Its description in RNAcentral is "bacterial SSU rRNA". It matches the Rfam family "Archaeal small subunit ribosomal RNA", at positions 85 to 880 of the family's 1478-position model. The record is from RNAcentral.
ACUGCUCAGUAACACGUCAAUAAUCUAACCUUAGAUCUGGAAUACCCUUGGUAACCUGAGGAUAAAACCGGAUAGAAUAAUUCUACUGGAAUGUGUUUUAUUUUAAAAGUAAUGUCUAAGGAUGAGUUGGCGGCGGAUUAGGUUGUUGGUGGGGUAAAGGCCCACCAAGCCGAAGAUCCGUACGGGCCUUGAGAGAGGUAGCCCGGAGAGGGACACUGAGAUACUGGUCCCAGCCCUACGGGGUGCAGCAGGCGCGAAACCUUUACAAUGCACGCAAGUGUGAUAAGGGAAUCCCGAGUGCUCAUGUUUUACAUGGGCUUUUGCCAAGAGUAAAAAUCUUGGCGAAUAAAUGGUGGGCAAGACUGGUGCCAGCAGCCGCGGUAACACCAGCGCCAUGAGUGGCAAUCAUAAUUAUUGGGCCUAAAGCGUCCGUAGUCGGUUUGAUAAGUCUUUUGUGAAAUCGUUGGGCUUAACUCAACGUUGUGCAAGAGAUACUGUCAAACUUGGAACCGGGAGGAGUCGGAGGUAUUCUAGGGGGAGCGGUAAAAUGCUAUAAUCCCUGGAGGACCACCUGUGGCGAAAGCGUCCGACUAGAACGGCUUCGACGAUGAGGGACGAAAGCCAGGGGAGCAAACCGGAUUAGAUACCCGGGUAGUCCUGGCCAUAAACGCUGCGAGCAAGGUGUCGCGUAUCCUCUGAGGAUACGCGGUGUCGAAAUGAAGAUGUUAAGCUCGCCGCCUGGGAAGUAUGGUCGCAAGGCUGAAACUUAAAGGAAUUGGCGGGGGAGCACA